RNAcentral lists this ribosomal RNA (462 nucleotides) under uncultured bacterium. RNAcentral's name for it is "partial 16S ribosomal RNA". It matches the Rfam family "Bacterial small subunit ribosomal RNA", at positions 28 to 507 of the family's 1533-position model. The record is from RNAcentral.
GACGAACGCUGGCGGCGUGCUUAACACAUGCAAGUCGAACGGAAAGGCCUUUUCGGAGGUACUCGAGUGGCGAACGGGUGAGUAACACGUGGGUGAUCUGCCCUGCACUCUGGGAUAAGCCCGGGAAACUGGGUCUAAUACCGGAUAGGACCGCACUUUAGUGUGUGUGGUGGAAAGUUUUUUCGGUGUAGGAUGAGCCCGCGGCCUAUCAGCUUGUUGGUGGGGUAAUGGCCUACCAAGGCGGCGACGGGUAGCCGGACUGAGAGGUUGGUCGGCCACAUUGGGACUGAGAUACGGCCCAGACUCCUACGGGAGGCAGCAGUGGGGAAUAUUGCACAAUGGGCGCAAGCCUGAUGCAGCGAGGCCGCGUGGGGAUGACGGCCUUCGGGUUGUAAACUCCUUUCGCCAGGGACGAAGCGUUUUGUGACGGUACCUGGAGAAGAAGCACCGGCUAACUACGUG